UGAAAGGAAGUCAGAAAGCAUCCAUUA
RNAcentral lists this non-coding RNA (27 nucleotides) under Mus musculus (house mouse). The record is from RNAcentral. Lineage: Eukaryota; Metazoa; Chordata; Mammalia; Rodentia; Muridae.